Molecule: unclassified non-coding RNA, 352 nt
Filed under: soil metagenome
Description: partial contains 5.8S ribosomal RNA, internal transcribed spacer 2, and large subunit ribosomal RNA
Rfam family: 5.8S ribosomal RNA (bases 1-120)
Source: RNAcentral
GAUGAAGAACGUAGUGAAAUGCGAUAAGUAAUGUGAAUUGCAGAAUUCAGUGAAUCAUCGUAUCUUUGAACGCACAUUGCGCCCGCCAGUAUUCUGGCGGGCAUGCCUGUUCGAGCGUCAUUACAACCCUCAGGCCCCCGGGCCUGGCGUUGGGGAUCGGCGGAGCCCCCCGUGGGCACACGCCGUCCCCCAAAUGCAGUGGCGGUCCCGCCGCAGCUUCCAUCGCGUAGUAGCUAACACCUCGCGACUGGAGAGCGGCGCGGCCACGCCGUAAAACACCCAACUCUUCUGAAGUUGACCUCGAAUCAGGUAGGAAUACCCGCUGAACUUAAGCAUAUCAAUAAGCGGAGGA